Eucalyptus grandis is the source of this 1877-nucleotide long non-coding RNA. RefSeq lists it as uncharacterized. Lineage: Eukaryota; Viridiplantae; Streptophyta; Magnoliopsida; Myrtales; Myrtaceae. The transcript has 4 exons. The record is from RefSeq and is a predicted model, not a curated record.
UCUGAUCUGUCUUGCCUCUCAGACAAGCAACUGGUCGUGAGAAAUAUCCGGAACCACUCAGAUUCUCUCUCUCUCUCUCUCUUCCUCUCUUUGCCCUCUCAAUCUUAGCUGAAAAAUGGGCUAAGCUUUUGGAUGAUUUUCCUCCAAGGGUUACAAAAGUAACUGGUUUCUCGGAUUCAUUGACCAGCCAUUAUUUUGUUCUAUUAUUAGAUAGAUCAAGAUGGGACAAGAAGAGAAAAAUCCAAAGCGUAGCAUCAGUAGUUAUGGUGGCAUCAGAACAAGAUCUUCCAAAAAGCAGAAGCAAAAGAAAGGUGCCACAGCGAGGACUUGGAGUGGCACAGUUGGACAAGAUCAGGAUUGAAGAACAACAGAAGAGCCAUGCAACUGUUGCUGCAGUUUCAACGUUAACACCUCCACAAGAUUCAGAUCCUGAUGUGUCAGUCCUGGUGAAAGGCUCUGUUCCAUUGGCAAGCGCCUUAAAGUAUGAUGGGCUUGAGAAUACUAGUCAGCACGGUACAGCAUAUUCAAACCGGAAGGAUCGUGAAGUGUGGAAUUCUUGUGAACAUAUUGCUGAGGAUGGUCAUAGGAUAGACGCUCGAUUCACUUUCCGCUUGAAACUACUUCUGCCUAGUGAAUGUGACUAUCUUUGGCCUUUGUUAGGUUUACCCCACUAUGAUCCACCAGGUUCUUCCACAGUAAGGCAAUGGCUUAUUGUUGGUGGAAAUUUCAGUUUGUGACUUCUGAUUUACUAAAUUUCCUCUGGUCUUUUUUCUCCUUCUGUGUUGAAAGAUUGUAUAAAAACUUUAACAUAGCGGGAACGCCACAGGUAAAUGCAUCAACAACUUCAUCAUCAUAUGUACUAAAUUCUCAGACAGAGCCCCCUUCAAACCAAAGCUAUCAUGGCAACUGUUCUCCUAUCCAGCAGGAGGAAGAGAAGAUAGGUGGCUGAAGCGGUCAUGUCCGUUGUCUUCAGAAAAGCUCCCUGCAUUUCUGGUCCACCUAAAGCUUCUUACAUCUGCCAAUACUCCCCAGACGUCAGAUGACUCGGCUUCAUCUGAAUAUGGAGCUGAAUUGAUUUACGAACCAGGGAUCGGGAGUUUUAGGUAUUCUUCACUUCAAGCUUCAGUUUCCAAUGCAAAAUCAGUUCAAAGUAAGAAACAAAACGGAGUUUUCAGCAGUGAGUUCCUCACAUUAGGCCUUCCUACUUUGCCAUCGACGUGGCUGACUACCAAGAGCAACCGGCCAUUUGCUUCUGUGGCCUUUGCCAAUUGUGAACCUCCCAAUAAUGAGAGACCAAGCUGUAAGGUGAGAGUAAAUUUUUUUGACAAGCCUUAUGGUUCGCAUGGCUGUCCUUGUGAUUCUACAUCUGAAUUGAUAAGCUACAUCAGUGAAAAGGGUCAUGCGCAAGAUUCAAAAUUUUGAGAGGGACCGAGGUGGGUCAAUCAGCAAGGGAAUUACGACUACUACAGCUUCCUCCCUCUGGCAAAGAAGCAUUCUGAUGAAGGAGCUGCAAGCACAACCAUUUUUCGCAAUGGAGUUACAGAAGGAAGCGUUGAUCUUGACUUGAAACUGUAGAGAUGGGUGGCCAAGAUGAAGUCAUAAAGAGCCAUCUAACUUAUCAGGGUGGUAAGCUCAGAAAAGAAAUACCUUUAUUUUCCCUAAACUUCAAGAUGGGCUCCCCAAAGUUCCAUGCGAGGCUAAAAUGAGCGUACUGACUUGAAAAGGGAGGUGGAGAGAAGGAGAAAAGUUGAAAUGGGAUUGGUUAGUAGAUAUGUUUGUUAGGAUGUUAUAUUUGAUGUAAGAGAUGUUGGUUUUCUUGGGUUAUUUCUGCCAAUUGGUUUGAAUGGUGGAUGAUAAAUCAUGCACUUGAUUGCACA